GUGGAUUAGAUACCCGGGUAGUCCACGCCGUAAACGAUGGGCACUAGGUGUGGGAGGUGUCGACUCCUCCCGUGCCGUCGCUAACGCACUAAGUGCCCCGCCUGGGGAGUACGGCCGCAAGGCUAAAACUCAAAGGAAUUGACGGGGGCCCGCACAAGCAGCGGAGCAUGUGGUUUAAUUCGACGCAACGCGAAGAACCUUACCUGGGCUUGACAUGUUGGUGACCGCCGUGGAAACACGGUUUUCCUUCGGGACACCAUCACAGGUGGUGCACGGUCGUCGACAACU
Molecule: ribosomal RNA, 288 nt
Filed under: uncultured bacterium
Lineage: Bacteria
Description: partial 16S ribosomal RNA
Rfam family: Bacterial small subunit ribosomal RNA
Source: RNAcentral